Long non-coding RNA from Lolium perenne, 2289 nucleotides. RefSeq lists it as uncharacterized. The record is from RefSeq and is a predicted model, not a curated record. Lineage: Eukaryota; Viridiplantae; Streptophyta; Magnoliopsida; Poales; Poaceae.
UCGAUGAGGCAUGUAACACUGCAGCCAAAAGGAUGGUACAGAUUGGAAAACAAGAAAAUCACAUCACACUGUGCUAACUGCCUCUCCAAAUGCAGUGAACAAAGCAAUUGUUAGCCCGGAUGAAUUUGCCGGGCAUUCUCUUCCUAUUGACAGUGUGAUGUGAUUUUCACACAUGUCCCAUUGUUGUGAUUUGAAGGGUGUGAGCAGAUGUAAUGGAAUUCCUGUCUCCACGCUUGAUCAAGGGGAGAAGGAUAAGUUGAUCCACCUUGCGGCCAGGUUUCAUGAGCGAGAUGUUGGCCAAGCUAAAGCUGUUUAUAAGAGCGUUCUAGGACUGGCCUAGAUCAGCUUGGCAAACCAGUAGGAUCAUAACUCUUUUUGGGCUCGACUCAUAUUGGAAAAAUAGAGAUAGCAAAAGCUCUUGCCGAAUAGCUAUUUUAUAGUGGGAAGAUGUUGAUGCGCAUUGAAACGUCCGAAUACAUUGUGGCUGGAUCUGUGGCGUCUAACUGGAGCCUCUCUAGGGUUUGUCUUCUCUAUUUAAACACCACUACAGUACCAUAUCAUUCGAAGUCUUCAAUUAGUCUGUCUGAUCUUAAUGUUUCUCUUGUAUUGGAAGUUUGGAACAUGUUAAAGCUCAUAUGACCAUCAAGGUGGUGGAGAAGGUGCGGAUCAUCCCAUAUAGUGUCAUCUGUCUCAAUGAGGUGGAGAAGGCAGAUCCCUUGGUGUUGAAUAUUUUUCUCCAGAUCCUUGAUGGUGGUAUGUUGACCGAUUGCAAAGGGCGGGUAGUAGAUUGCAGGAAUACCAUUAUCAACAUGACCUCAAAUCUGGGGUCAGGGCACCUUCUAGCAGGAAUACGCGGAGAAAAUACAAUGCAAACUGCACGGAACCUUGUCAUGAAUCAGGUUCAGAAACAGUUGAAGGCCGAGCUUGUGAACAGACUGGGUGCGGUCAUUGUAUUUGAGCCGCUUUCUCUAGUGAAAGAGAUCAUGGCAAUCCAGAUGAAGAUCGUUGUUGUCAGGGUAGCUGCCAAGAGAAUCAUGCAUUUAUGGAUAGAAAUCUAUCUCGCUCAACUAAAAUUCGUUGUGUGCAUAGGCAGUACAUCUGUAGGAAAUUGAUCUGCUAUUUUUUUUUGAAUAGUUUGCUGCUUAUUAUGCAUAGAGAGUGUAGGGUUUUUCUUAUGCAUUAUAUGGUUCAGAGCAUAUAGGAUUAUUUCCGCCAAUGCAUAAAUUUUUAUAUAGGCAAAUGAUUUGGACGGUGAUAGUGCUUGGAAUCUUCUGUUUUGUUUCGUCAUGCUACUUACUAGUCAGUCUAUUUCUGUUUGCAUAAAGGUUUGCUUAAUAACGUAUUGCAGGUCUCCGUGGCUGCAGCUCCUGGUGCCUGCUUGGUGUGUACUGAAAUCUGGGGUUUCUGCCUCAAUGUCAUUCUGACUGCCAUCACGGCUUCCCCAAUGAAGCUCCAGCUGCUCGGUGCUCUUUGGCGAUAGGAAGGAAUCUGGAAGCUCAACAAGGGCACAAUGAGAGUGAGAAAGAUGCCGCUUUGCCGGUCUGGAGAAGUUGAAGAAGGACUACAGAGAGCUUGGCAGCGCCACCGUGGACCUCAUUCUGCAGUGCCGACCUCCUUGAGCUAUCUGCUGCCGGGUUCAACCCGAAGCAAUAGAUGGAGUCUUCCGGUAUAAGGACGAGGGGACAAGCAGGAUGACCUGCUGUUGCUCUCAUCUGCUGGUAACUACAAUGCUAGGGACCAGCUGUUGUUGAUUGACCCGCUUCCACGACAAGGAGGAUCAAACGCAUGAACAUGAAAGUCAGGGUGACGUGUUGUUUCUGAAUGAUGGCGAUCAGUACUUGCACCUGGAACUAAUGGAACCAGAAGAGGCUGGUUAUCUCCUCCUGUGAUGCUUAAGAGUCUACUGAAGCUAGAAAGCGAAACUUAGGUUAUGGACGAGCUGAGCUUCUUCAUCCCGUGGUAGUCGCUGGGGCUGUACAUGGAGCGGCAGUUGACUGCCGUGGCAUUUGAGAAGAGGAGAUUAGGCAGCAUGACACUAAUGCAGCAGCAGCACAGAAGAAGUGGAGCUGGAGCUGGCCUCUUCUUCGAGUUAACGAUUUAGGCAGGUAUCUGCUUCUGGCUCACUGAUAUGUCUAGGCUGACUGGCUCACUGGUAUACCUUGUAUUGAUUGUUGUGUUCAAUGACAUUAUUUAGGCUUAUUAUGGUACCUACUGGCUCUAGUGUUGGUGUCUAUAAUAAGUAUUAGGUUUUGUGAUCUGCGGUUGCUGGUUAUAGAAACACUCUUUUUU